UUCUGCAGCCAUGCUACCUUGAACAAGCCCGAUCCCUUCUGAUCUUGGAAGCUAAGCAGGGUCAGGCCUAGUUAGUACUUGGAUGGGAGACACCUAGGAAGACCAGGUGCUAUAGGCA
This is a non-coding RNA of Pteropus alecto (black flying fox), 118 nucleotides long. The record is from Rfam. Lineage: Eukaryota; Metazoa; Chordata; Mammalia; Chiroptera; Pteropodidae.